UGUUGCUUUGGCGGCUCCGGCCGCCAAAGGACCUUCAAACUCCAGUCAGUAAACGCAGACGUCUGAUAAACAAGUUAAUAAACUAAAACUUUCAACAACGGAUCUCUUGGUUCUGGCAUCGAUGAAGAACGCAGCGAAAUGCGAUAAGUAAUGUGAAUUGCAGAAUUCAGUGAAUCAUCGAAUCUUUGAACGCACAUUGCGCCCCUUGGUAUUCCGGGGGGCAUGCCUGUUCGAGCGUCAUUACAACCCUCAAGCUCUGCUUGGAAUUGGGCACCGUCCUCACUGCGGACGCGCCUCAAAGACCUCGGCGGUGGCUGUUCAGCCCUCAAGCGUAGUAGAAUACACCUCGCUUUGGAGCGGUUGGCGUCGCCCGCCGGACGAACCUUCUGAACUUUUCUCAAGGUUGACCUCGGAUCAGGUAGGGAUACCCGCUGAACUUAAGCAUAUCAAUAAGCGGAGGAAAAGAAACCAACAGGGAUUGCCUUAGUAACGGCGAGUGAAGCGGCAACAGCUCAAAUUUGAAAGCUGGCCCUUUUAGGGUCCGCAUUGUAAUUUGUAGAGGAUGAUUCGGCGAGGGCUCCUGCCUAAGUCCCCUGGAACGGGGCGUCAUAGAGGGUGAGAAUCCCGUAUGCGGUAGGUUGCCUUAGCCAUGUGAAUCUCCUUCGACGAGUCGAGUUGUUUGGGAAUGCAGCUCUAAAUGGGAGGUAAAUUUCUUCUAAAGCUAAAUACCGGCCAGAGACCGAUAGCGCACAAGUAGAGUGAUCGAAAGAUGAAAAGCACUUUGGAAAGAGAGUUAAAAAGUACGUGAAAUUGUUGAAAGGGAAGCGCUUGCAACCAGACUUGUCCGCAGUUGCUCAGCCGGUCUCCUGACCGGCGUACUCUUCUGCGGCCAGGCCAGCAUCAGUUCGGGCGGUCGGAUAAAGGCCU
Molecule: ribosomal RNA, 927 nt
Filed under: fungal sp.
Lineage: Eukaryota; Fungi
Description: eukaryotic LSU rRNA
Rfam family: Eukaryotic large subunit ribosomal RNA (bases 405-927)
Source: RNAcentral